GGUGACUCAGUGGUAGAGUGCUUGCCUUGCAUGCAUGAGGUCCUGGGUUCGAUUCCUCAGCACCA
This is a non-coding RNA of Dipodomys ordii (Ord's kangaroo rat), 65 nucleotides long. NCBI's taxonomy places the organism in Eukaryota, Metazoa, Chordata, Mammalia, Rodentia, Heteromyidae. The record is from Rfam.